This 467-nucleotide ribosomal RNA is filed under the name uncultured bacterium. RNAcentral's name for it is "bacterial SSU rRNA". It matches the Rfam family "Bacterial small subunit ribosomal RNA", at positions 29 to 507 of the family's 1533-position model. The record is from RNAcentral.
AUUGAACGCUGGCGGCAGGCCUAACACAUGCAAGUCGAACGGUAACAGAAAGCAGCUUGCUGCUUUGCUGACGAGUGGCGGACGGGUGAGUAAUGUCUGGGAAACUGCCUGAUGGAGGGGGAUAACUACUGGAAACGGUAGCUAAUACCGCAUAACGUCGCAAGACCAAAGAGGGGGACCUUCGGGCCUCUUGCCAUCGGAUGUGCCCAGAUGGGAUUAGCUAGUAGGUGGGGUAACGGCUCACCUAGGCGACGAUCCCUAGCUGGUCUGAGAGGAUGACCAGCCACACUGGAACUGAGACACGGCCCAGACUCCUACGGGAGGCAGCAGUGGGGGAUAUUGCACAAUGGGGGAAACCCUGAUGCAGCGACGCCGCGUGAGGGAAGACGGUCCUCUGGAUUGUAAACCUCUGUCUUCGGGGACGAAACGAGACGGUACCCGAGGAGGAAGCCACGGCUAACUACGUG